GGGGAGGGGUGGAUAAUUUCGAUGGUAGUGUAUUGGACUAUAUGGAUCUCACGAAUAACACGUAACUAUGGUUCGAUUCUGGAGAAGGAGCCUGAGAAACGGCUACUACAUUUUCUCUAGGCAGCGUGGCGCGUAAAUUACCCAAUCCUGACUCAGGAAGGUGGUGACAACAUAUAACAACGCCCUUUCAUUGUGACUGUAGUGAGGGUAUUCCUACCCAACCACUAGUACGAUUAAAGGGCAAGUCUGGUGCCAGAAGCCGCGGUAAUUCCAGCUCUAAUAGCGUAUAUCAAAGUUGCUGCAAUUAAAAGCUCGCUCGUAGUGGAUUUCUUGGACCGCAAACCCCUCCGGGGAAUACUUCCUACUAGCCUCCGGAAUGUUACUGUGAGAAAAUGAUAGUGUCUCAAGCAGGCUUUCACAGGAACACAUUAUCAUGGAAAAAAGAAUGCGGGAGAGGGGAGGGCGACGCAAACCACGAUUAACAGAGAUAGUGGGGGAAUAGCAUCCAAUCUUCUCAUCUGUACUUCUCGAGACGUGAAAACUAACGCAUGCUACAGCCCUACCCCACGACGUCUCCACUACUCGGGGACGACCGACAGGG
RNAcentral lists this ribosomal RNA (601 nucleotides) under uncultured rumen protozoa. RNAcentral describes it as "bacterial SSU rRNA". It matches the Rfam family "Eukaryotic small subunit ribosomal RNA", at positions 302 to 995 of the family's 1831-position model. The record is from RNAcentral.